RNAcentral lists this ribosomal RNA (1605 nucleotides) under Salmonella enterica subsp. enterica serovar Rissen. RNAcentral describes it as "partial 23S ribosomal RNA". It matches the Rfam family "Bacterial large subunit ribosomal RNA", at positions 711 to 2215 of the family's 2925-position model. Lineage: Bacteria; Pseudomonadati; Pseudomonadota; Gammaproteobacteria; Enterobacterales; Enterobacteriaceae. The record is from RNAcentral.
AGACCCGAAACCCGGUGAUCUAGCCAUGGGCAGGUUGAAGGUUGGGUAACACUAACUGGAGGACCGAACCGACUAAUGUUGAAAAAUUAGCGGAUGACCUGUGGCUGGGGGUGAAAGGCCAAUCAAACCGGGAGAUAGCUGGUUCUCCCCGAAAGCUAUUUAGGUAGCGCCUCGUGAAUUCAUCUCCGGGGGUAGAGCACUGUUUCGGCUAGGGGGCCAUCCCGGCUUACCAACCCGAUGCAAACUGCGAAUACCGGAGAAUGUUAUCACGGGAGACACACGGCGGGUGCUAACGUCCGUCGUGAAGAGGGAAACAACCCAGACCGCCAGCUAAGGUCCCAAAGUCAUGGUUAAGUGGGAAACGAUGUGGGAAGGCCCAGACAGCCAGGAUGUUGGCUUAGAAGCAGCCAUCAUUUAAAGAAAGCGUAAUAGCUCACUGGUCGAGUCGGCCUGCGCGGAAGAUGUAACGGGGCUAAACCAUGCACCGAAGCUGCGGCAGCGAACGUAUCACUUAAAGCGAUUCAGCGGAUGACGAUUGACGGAGCGAAGCGACGUCAAAGCGUAUACAAAGUCGAGUCGGUUUAAGGAUACGUUCGUUGGGUAGGGGAGCGUUCUGUAAGCCUGCGAAGGUGGCCUGUGAGGGUUGCUGGAGGUAUCAGAAGUGCGAAUGCUGACAUAAGUAACGAUAAAGCGGGUGAAAAGCCCGCUCGCCGGAAGACCAAGGGUUCCUGUCCAACGUUAAUCGGGGCAGGGUGAGUCGACCCCUAAGGCGAGGCCGAAAGGCGUAGUCGAUGGGAAACGGGUUAAUAUUCCCGUACUUGGUGUUACUGCGAAGGGGGGACGGAGAAGGCUAUGUUGGCCGGGCGACGGUUGUCCCGGUUUAAGCGUGUAGGUGUGUGUUCCAGGUAAAUCCGGUUCACUUUAACACUGAGGCGUGACGACGAGGCACUACGGUGCUGAAGCAACAAAUGCCCUGCUUCCAGGAAAAGCCUCUAAGCAUCAGGUAACAUCAAAUCGUACCCCAAACCGACACAGGUGGUCAGGUAGAGAAUACCAAGGCGCUUGAGAGAACUCGGGUGAAGGAACUAGGCAAAAUGGUGCCGUAACUUCGGGAGAAGGCACGCUGACAUGUAGGUGAAGUGAUUUACUCAUGGAGCUGAAGUCAGUCGAAGAUACCAGCUGGCUGCAACUGUUUAUUAAAAACACAGCACUGUGCAAACACGAAAGUGGACGUAUACGGUGUGACGCCUGCCCGGUGCCGGAAGGUUAAUUGAUGGGGUCAGCGCAAGCGAAGCUCCUGAUCGAAGCCCCGGUAAACGGCGGCCGUAACUAUAACGGUCCUAAGGUAGCGAAAUUCCUUGUCGGGUAAGUUCCGACCUGCACGAAUGGCGUAAUGAUGGCCAGGCUGUCUCCACCCGAGACUCAGUGAAAUUGAACUCGCUGUGAAGAUGCAGUGUACCCGCGGCAAGACGGAAAGACCCCGUGAACCUUUACUAUAGCUUGACACUGAACAUUGAGCCUUGAUGUGUAGGAUAGGUGGGAGGCUUUGAAGUGUGGACGCCAGUCUGCAUGGAGCCGACCUUGAAAUACCACCCUUUAAUGUUU